This is a long non-coding RNA of Vespa crabro (European hornet), 372 nucleotides long. RefSeq lists it as uncharacterized. The transcript is spliced from 2 exons. NCBI's taxonomy places the organism in Eukaryota, Metazoa, Arthropoda, Insecta, Hymenoptera, Vespidae. The record is from RefSeq and is a predicted model, not a curated record.
CUUUUCCUCUGAAUCUUUGAUUUUCUAUAAUAUUAAAAAGUGAUUUUUGAAAAAUAUAUAUUAGAGUAUAACAUAAAAAUAACAUUGCCAUUAAUUGAAUAUAUUUUAACAAUUAUAUUGUAGAGAACUAUUCAAUGAUGUCAUAUAUACGCGUUACCGAAUGCAAACAAGUAGAAUUUAUCCAUCCGCGCUUGGGUAAUAAAGGACAGUCUCAGCUCGCGGAUAUAUCCGCGUUGAAUGCAAAUUGGUUAAAAUAAUAUUUUUUAAUAUAUAAAAUAUAUAAAAUAUACAAAAUAUACAAUAAAGCUUAUACUAAAGCUUUAGUAACUCUUAAUAAUUUUUAAAAUAAUAAAAAUCUUAUAUUAUAGAAAA